UUAAGCGACUAAGCGUACACGGUGGAUGCCCUGGCAGUCAGAGGCGAUGAAGGACGUGCUAAUCUGCGAAAAGCGUCGGUAAGGUGAUAUGAACCGUUACAGCCGGCGAUGUCCGAAUGGGGAAACCCAGUGCAAUUCGUUGCACUAUCGUUAACUGAAUACAUAGGUUAACGAGGCGAACCGGGGGAACUGAAACAUCUAAGUACCCCGAGGAAAAGAAAUCAACCGAGAUUCCCCCAGUAGCGGCGAGCGAACGGGGAGCAGCCCAGAGUCUGAAUCAGCUUGUGUGUUAGUGGAACGGUCUGGAAAGUCCGACGGUACAGGGUGAUAGUCCCGUACACCAAAAUGCACAGGCUGUGAACUCGAAGAGUAGGGCGGGACACGUGGUAUCCUGUCUGAAUAUGGGGGGACCAUCCUCCAAGGCUAAAUACUCCUGACUGACCGAUAGUGAACCAGUACCGUGAGGGAAAGGCGAAAAGAACCCCGGCGAGGGGAGUGAAAAAGAACCUGAAACCGUGUACGUACAAGCAGUGGGAGCACCUUCGGGUGUGACUGCGUACCUUUUGUAUAAUGGGUCAGCGACUUAUAUUCUGUAGCAAGGUUAACCGUAUAGGGGAGCCGCAGGGAAACCGAGUCUUAACUGGGCGUUAAGUUGCAGGGUAUAGACCCGAAACCCGGUGAUCUAGCCAUGGGCAGGUUGAAGGUUGGGUAACACUAACUGGAGGACCGAACCGACUAAUGUUGAAAAAUUAGCGGAUGACUUGUGGCUGGGGGUGAAAGGCCAAUCAAACCGGGAGAUAGCUGGUUCUCCCCGAAAGCUAUUUAGGUAGCGCCUCGUGAAUUCAUCUUCGGGGGUAGAGCACUGUUUCGGCUAGGGGGUCAUCCCGACUUACCAACCCGAUGCAAACUACGAAUACCGAAGAAUGUUAUCACGGGAGACACACGGCGGGUGCUAACGUCCGUCGUGAAGAGGGAAACAACCCAGACCGCCAGCUAAGGUCCCAAAGUCAUGGUUAAGUGGGAAACGAUGUGGGAAGGCACAGACAGCCAGGAUGUUGGCUUAGAAGCAGCCAUCAUUUAAAGAAAGCGUAAUAGCUCACUGGUCGAGUCGGCCUGCGCGGAAGAUGUAACGGGGCUAAACCAUGCACCGAAGCUGCGGCAGCGACACUAUGUGUUGUUGGGUAGGGGAGCGUUCUGUAAGCCUGCGAAGGUGACCUGUGAGGGUUGCUGGAGGUAUCAGAAGUGCGAAUGCUGACAUAAGUAACGAUAAAGCGGGUGAAAAGCCCGCUCGCCGGAAGACCAAGGGUUCCUGUCCAACGUUAAUCGGGGCAGGGUGAGUCGACCCCUAAGGCGAGGCCGAAAGGCGUAGUCGAUGGGAAACAGGUUAAUAUUCCUGUACUUGGUGUUACUGCGAAGGGGGGACGGAGAAGGCUAUGUUAGCCGGGCGACGGUUGUCCCGGUUUAAGCAUGUAGGCUGGUUGUCCAGGCAAAUCCGGAUAAUCAAGGCUGAGGUGUGAUGACGAGGCACUACGGUGCUGAAGUAACAAAUGCCCUGCUUCCAGGAAAAGCCUCUAAGCAUCAGGUAACAUUAAAUCGUACCCCAAACCGACACAGGUGGUCAGGUAGAGAAUACCAAGGCGCUUGAGAGAACUCGGGUGAAGGAACUAGGCAAAAUGGUGCCGUAACUUCGGGAGAAGGCACGCUGGUGUGUAGGUGAAGUCCCUGCGGAUGGAGCUGAGACCAGUCGAAGAUACCAGCUGGCUGCAACUGUUUAUUAAAAACACAGCACUGUGCAAACACGAAAGUGGACGUAUACGGUGUGACGCCUGCCCGGUGCCGGAAGGUUAAUUGAUGGGGUUAUCCGUAAGGAGAAGCUCUUGAUCGAAGCCCCGGUAAACGGCGGCCGUAACUAUAACGGUCCUAAGGUAGCGAAAUUCCUUGUCGGGUAAGUUCCGACCUGCACGAAUGGCGUAAUGAUGGCCAGGCUGUCUCCACCCGAGACUCAGUGAAAUUGAACUCGCUGUGAAGAUGCAGUGUACCCGCGGCAAGACGGAAAGACCCCGUGAACCUUUACUAUAGCUUGACACUGAACAUUGAGCCUUGAUGUGUAGGAUAGGUGGGAGGCUUUGAAGCGUGGACGCCAGUCUGCGUGGAGCCAACCUUGAAAUACCACCCUUUAAUGUUUGAUGUUCUAACGUUGGCCCCUGACCGGGGUUGCGGACAGUGUCUGGUGGGUAGUUUGACUGGGGCGGUCUCCUCCCAAAGCGUAACGGAGGAGCACGAAGGUUAGCUAAUCCUGGUCGGACAUCAGGAGGUUAGUGCAAUGGCAUAAGCUAGCUUGACUGCGAGCGUGACGGCGCGAGCAGGUGCGAAAGCAGGUCAUAGUGAUCCGGUGGUUCUGAAUGGAAGGGCCAUCGCUCAACGGAUAAAAGGUACUCCGGGGAUAACAGGCUGAUACCGCCCAAGAGUUCAUAUCGACGGCGGUGUUUGGCACCUCGAUGUCGGCUCAUCACAUCCUGGGGCUGAAGUAGGUCCCAAGGGUAUGGCUGUUCGCCAUUUAAAGUGGUACGCGAGCUGGGUUUAGAACGUCGUGAGACAGUUCGGUCCCUAUCUGCCGUGGGCGCUGGAGAAUUGAGGGGGCUGCUCCUAGUACGAGAGGACCGGAGUGGACGCAUCACUGGUGUUCGGGUUGUCAUGCCAAUGGCACUGCCCGGUAGCUAAAUGCGGAAGAGAUAAGUGCUGAAAGCAUCUAAGCACGAAACUUGCCCGAGAUGAGUUCUCCCUGAGACUUUAAGUCUCCUGAAGGAACGUUAAAGACGAUGACGUUGAUAGGCCGGGUGUGUAAGCGCAGCGAUGCGUUGAGCUAACCGGUACUAAUGAACCGUGAGGCUUAACCUU
This 2898-nucleotide ribosomal RNA is filed under the name Klebsiella pneumoniae. Its description in RNAcentral is "bacterial LSU rRNA". It matches the Rfam family "Bacterial large subunit ribosomal RNA". Lineage: Bacteria; Pseudomonadati; Pseudomonadota; Gammaproteobacteria; Enterobacterales; Enterobacteriaceae. The record is from RNAcentral.